Molecule: ribosomal RNA, 491 nt
Filed under: uncultured bacterium
Lineage: Bacteria
Description: partial 16S ribosomal RNA
Rfam family: Bacterial small subunit ribosomal RNA
Source: RNAcentral
AGUGAACGCUGGCGGUAGGCCUAACACAUGCAAGUCGAACGGCAGCACAGUAAGAGCUUGCUCUUACGGGUGGCGAGUGGCGGACGGGUGAGGAAUACAUCGGAAUCUACUUUUUCGUGGGGAUAACGUAGGGAAACUUACGCUAAUACCGCAUACGACCUACGGGUGAAAGCAGGGGAUCUUCGGACCCUGCGCGAUUGAAUGAGCCGAUGUCGGAUUAGCUAGUUAGCGGGGUAAAGGCCCACCAAGGCGACGAUCCGUAGCUGGUCUGAGAGGAUGAUCAGCCACACUGGAACUGAGACACGGUCCAGACUCCUACGGGAGGCAGCAGUGGGGAAUAUUGGACAAUGGGCGCAAGCCUGAUCCAGCCAUACCGCGUGGGUGAAGAAGGCCUUCGGGUUGUAAAGCCCUUUUGUUGGGAAAGAAAAGCAGCAGGUUAAUACCCCGCUGUUCUGACGGUACCCAAAGAAUAAGCACCGGCUAACUUCGUG